Molecule: long non-coding RNA, 458 nt
Organism: Thalassophryne amazonica
Lineage: Eukaryota; Metazoa; Chordata; Actinopteri; Batrachoidiformes; Batrachoididae
Exons: 3
Source: RefSeq, a predicted model, not a curated record
AGCAGAAGACUGCCCCUCCCUGAGCCUGGUUCUGCUGGAGGUUUCUUCCUGUUAAAAACCUUCCUGUCCUCAGUCAUCUCGAUGGAGGCCACAGGCGUUCCCAGCACCCGAACAUUGUACUUCUCCAAGAUGCCGAGCUUUGUCAGCUCCACGCCACAGUUCAGAGCGGUCUGACCACCAAAGGUCAUCAUUCUGGCAUACUUUGGAGUCAACCGAUAACUUUGCACAUGCUGCCAAACUUCUGAUGGAGGUGAAAACUGUCCCCAGCGUGGUGACAAGCAAUGCCGGGAUGGCCAUACCUCCUAAAGUCAUGUACAAAAUCAUCUGAGAUUUUGUCUGCCUGUACUUGUGUUUAUAAAGAGUAAGGUCAUUUAUGCAAAUCACUUAAAUUCAAAAUCAGGGGUGUAUGACUACAUGUAAAAUUCUCUUAUUUCUUGCAGAAUAAACUCAAACAUGUA